Molecule: ribosomal RNA, 253 nt
Filed under: uncultured bacterium
Lineage: Bacteria
Description: partial 16S ribosomal RNA
Rfam family: Bacterial small subunit ribosomal RNA
Source: RNAcentral
UACGGGGGAUGCAAGUGUUAUCCGGAAUAAUUGGGCGUAAAGCGUCUGUAGGUGGUUGACCAAGUCUGUUGUUAAAAAUCAGGGCUCAACCCUGAUCCGGCAACAGAAACUAGUAAACUUGAGUACGGUAGGGGCAGAGGGAAUUCUCGGUGUAGUGGUGAAAUACGCAGAUAUCGGGAGGAACACCGGUGGCGAAGGCGGUUCUCUGGGCCUUACCUGACGCUGAGGAGCGAAAGCGUGGGGAGCGAACAGG